RNAcentral lists this ribosomal RNA (472 nucleotides) under uncultured bacterium. RNAcentral's name for it is "partial 16S ribosomal RNA". The record is from RNAcentral.
CACGUAGUUAGCCGGUGCUUAUUCAUAAGUUACCGUCAUAUUCUUCACUUAUAAAAAGAAGUUUACGACCCUAGGGCCUUCAUCCUUCACGCGGCGUUGCUCCAUCAGGCUUUCGCCCAUUGUGGAAGAUUCCUCACUGCUGCCUCCCGUAGGAGUCUGGGCCGUGUCUCAGUCCCAGUCUGGCUGAUCAUCCUCUCAGACCAGCUAUAGAUCGUAGGCUUGGUGAGCCUUUACCUCACCAACUACCUAAUCUAACGCGGGCCGCUCCCAAAGCGGAUAAAUCCUUUAAUCCGAAGAUCAUAUGCGGCAUUAGCUACCCUUUCGGGCAGUUAUUCCUCACUUUGGGGUCACGUUCCCACGCGUUACUCAGCCGUCCGCCGCUCGCCGCCAAGUAGUAAACUACUCGCGCUGCCGCUCGACUUGCAUGUGUUAGGCACGCCGCCAGCAUUCAUCCUGAGCCAGGAUCAAACUC